Molecule: non-coding RNA, 5253 nt
Organism: Cricetulus griseus (Chinese hamster)
Lineage: Eukaryota; Metazoa; Chordata; Mammalia; Rodentia; Cricetidae
Source: RefSeq, a predicted model, not a curated record
AUUGAAAAAGAAACAAAUUUAAAGAUGGCCUUAAAUUUAUGAUCUCUCUGCCUCCUGAAUGUUGGGAUGACAGGUGCAUACUAUAGUUUUGGUUACUUUUCAGUUGCUGUCAUGAAACACCAUGACCAACACAACUUGAAGAAAGAGGCUGUUGGGGCUUACAGUUUUAGAGGAUGAGUCCAUAACCAUCAUGGUAGGAAUGCUGGCAGCAGGCAGGCAGACACAGCACUAGCGUAGUUGCUGAGACUUACAUCUUGAGACACAACCAUGAGGUAGAGAGAGCUAACUGGAUAUGACAUGGGCUUUUGAAAUCUCAAAACCUACUCCUAGUGGCACCCCUCCUCCAACAAGGCCACACCCACUCCAAGAAUGCCACACCUCCUAAUCUUUCCAAAUAGUUCCAUCAACUAGGAAUCAAACACCCAAAUAUAUGAACCUAUAGGGGCCAUUCUCAUUCAAACCACCACAGUCCCAUGCCCUGUUCAUGUGGUGCUGAAUACAGAGCCCAAGGCUUUGUAUAUUCUACGCAGGUACUCCACCCACUGAGCUAUAUCUCCAGCCCCCUAUUCCGUCAUUUUGAAAGCAAAGAAAUAAUAAUUUCAGACUCCUAAACUAGGAAAAAUGUAUCCAAAGAGUUUGUCCCUGGGCAGUGUUUGAUACAGUCACCUGCUUGUUCUUGCGGCAUGCACACCUACACAGACACUGGCAGAAUUAUCUGGUUUGUCGACAAAUAAGGACCUGUUCUUCUGGCAUUGAGGAUAGCUUGCCUUUUAUCAAUAAAUGGGCAAAACUCAAAAACUAUAAAGCCUACAUGUGGCUUGUGUCACUUUGUUUGAAAGCAUAGGAUGGAAAGAUAAAAUGUAGUUUCUGACAUAAAAUAAGGAAAAGUGAUUUAUUCCAUGACACCCAUCCAUGUUUGAUGAAUAUUUGUUUGCCUUUAUUUUUUUUCAAGUAUCUAAAAAGUCAUUCAACUGCCUUUAUUACUUUGUUUUAAACAGAUGUUUGUCUGAAGCCAUUGGACAGAAAGUGUUCUGAAACCUUAAGAACAAUGGCAUACUUAUGUCCUGCAAGUGAAGAAGAACUUGUAAGGUCAAGUGUAAGCUCUUGGCUAUUUUUCCAGCACUAUAACUCCUGCCUGCCACCAUGCUCCCCAGCAGGAUGAUCCUGGACUCACCUUCUGAAACUACUCUAGUGGAACCACAGAUCAGUGUAUAACUUUCUGCUACAGACUGUAGAGAUCGUGGUUUGAAAGAUAAUGUCGGAGACAGAAUCGCAGAGUAAAAGGCACUUGUUUCACCGUGUCCUCCUCAGGGAGUUGUCCAAUUCAAUGUGAUUUUAAACAUCUGUCAGCUAAAUCAGAGCUCCAAAUUUAGCACUCGGGAACAUUAUGCGGAUGUGCGAUGCUCGCUGGAGAACACUGCAUCCACAAACUCAGCUCACAGGAGACAGCCGGGUGGUACUCCCAUUGGUAAUUUUAUCUACGAGACGUUUAAUUUGGCUGUGCAUUUAUGACAAUUAUGUAAAAGGGAAGUUGUGACCGUUUCCUCACAAAGGGUUUUCUGCUGAGAACUCUGCAUUUCUCUCUGAUCCUUUGCCUGUGUGGUUUUGUUUGUUUUUAAUCCCCAGAGGCCAGUUUGAUCUGAGUUUCCUGAAAUUCUGUUCUCCAUCCUGAGACAUCUUUCGGGUCUGGCAAAAAAAAAAUGUAACUCUGCUGUAUCCAUCCUAAAGAAGCAUGGUUCUCACUGGCCACCUUUGAUGGGCACUGUAGCAUAGCUCCCUUCUCUCCACUGGAGGGAUGCCCCUGAAGAGCUGCACUGCAGUUCAAGAAGAAGACAACCCCAUGCCUUUGCAGAGGCAAAUGACUGCUCAUUUGGGAGUGUGUAACUAAUUCUAUCAAUUUCUGAAAUCAUGGCAUCUGUAAAGGGAGACACAGGGAGAAAGAGCCUUGUAAAAUAGUAUGGCCAUCGAUAAGUGUCUGAUCACAAUAGACGAACAUGUAUUUGUUGCACUUAGAUUCACACAAAAUCUCCCAGCUUCCAAGAUCCAGUGCUCCACUAAGUCCUCAGACCUAGUUACCACAUGCUUUCAGCUGUGGAAGCAACGCUGUGAGUCUCUGCUCUGAUUUAAUGUGUGAUGCUAUUAGGAAGAAUCUUGUAAUGCUACUGGGUCUCGGAAGCAGCAACUGUGGUGUUUGAUUGGUCCUGUGUAACCAGGAUUAGGCUAGGCCCAGAACAAGGGUCUAAUGAGACUGUAGGGACAGUAAAUCAGUGCAUGAGUGGCAGGCAGACAGGCAUGAAUUUGAACUGUCUCAAGGCAGGGGAAGGUGACGCUGCUGCUGUUGGCCAGAGGAGAUGCCUUACAAAAUCAUCCUGGCAAAACUACACAUGCACUACUCACACAUGGACUUGAACAAGACUCAGUACAGGGUUUCCUUGCUUUUAGAGAAAAGGUGAGCCUCUCAGAGGAGUUAUAACCAAUUAAGAGCUGGGACACAGGGAAGGUGGCUGCAGAGCACUGAGCUGACAAACUUAGUCUCAAAACAUUUUCUUUCUGACAGUCUUGGUGUUUAACACAUACUCUAGGGGAGCCUGAUGGCUCUUCCUUCUCCUCACGCCACUUCUAUGGCAACACACUUACCUUGGGAGGAUACAUUAGGGAAUAGUUAAAACCAGAGACUGUAGCAUCAGACAGAUCAAAAUUCAAGCCCCAGACCACUGAGGCAAAUUAUCCUGGGAAAAUUAGCAAACAUCUGAGCUAGCUCAUUGCAUAUAAGGGAUGCAACUCAAGUAGAAAUAAAGUACCUGACACAUAGCAAAUGUUCAGUGUGACCAAAAUUGUCAUCGUUACUGUAAUUAAUUUGGGUUUGAAUUUUGCAAGUGAUAAAAAUGAAACAGUGCUGGCUUAAGCAAAAUAGUAACAACAUCAAUACAAGUGUGACUUACAGAAAUCACAAGUAGAAAUGUGCACGGGCCUCAGGGACAUCCAGUCACCAUUGUCUUCCAUUGCUCAUCUGCUGUACAAGUCUCCCUGAACUGCAUAUUUGCCUCAUCCCCCUCGGGGUUGAGAAAAAGCCAUCUCCCACCUCCUAACCUGCCAUCCUGCAGCUUCAACUUUCCCAAAAGAGACCAGCCAGAACCUUUUUCCUGUUCUUGAUGUCAUAGACUCCAAUGCAUUCACCUGGCAUGGCUAGAGGCAGGGGUCAAGUGACACUUGUGGUCCCCAGGAAGUAGCAGAUGUGGAGAGUCGCUGGAUUUCUGGGAGAGAAAUUAUGGCCAGAUGUUACAAAAGUACUUUCAAACUAGUAUAAUGGUGGAAGUGCGAUAUUUUUUAAAGUGAGAAGGUGUGAAAAUGUCCUUAGUGAACAAAAUUUCAUAUAUAUCGUGGUCAUGAGCUACACUCAUUUAUAAAGGUAGAGAUUUAUAGGGAACACAGAGAAGUUGGUUUAUGCUGUGGUGGUGAUUUUUUAAUGUUCUCUGAUUUAAUAACAAAACUUUGUUGAAUGCGGAAAGCUCUUACAAGGAUUAAUAACCCUUGAGCUUUUGCCACCUAACACCUUAGCGAGGAUUAGUUGUCAACUGGCUGAGAGCCAAGCCUCUAGGGGUACAGUCUCAGGCCAGAAGGAGGAGGGAGGAGGCAGGAAAAUGCCAAAAGUCCUGAAGGCCAAGCUCCUCGUUCUCUACCAUGUGCAGGCACUGAGGCCCUCUCUUCAUAGAAAGUCAGAAACCUGGCUCAGAAUCCUAAAGCCUUCAUCGUAUUUUCACAGGACAGUCUGUAAACUCCAGCCAGAGACAGGACAGCUACUAGAAAACUCCCUGGGUAGUUUAAAAAAAAAAAAAGCCAUCAGAAACACUGUGAAAAGCCACCUUGUGUUUUUUAGAACAAGACGGGAGCCAGCUUCCAAAAGCCCUACAAACAUCCUAUAGACACGUUUCCAUAGAAACAGAUGAUCCCACGCCCACUCUAGUAGCCUCUGAGCCCAUUUGGCAUUCUGUCCUCAGUUCCACCCCUGGGUGCAGUGAGGAUAACCCAGGAAAAGUCUUUCCAUUUAGUCUUUGGCACCCUGCUUCUAAUAGCCUGAAUGUCCAUGUGCUGCUUCUUUUAAUGUUCCCCUCGAGGGUUGGGUAGGACAGAUGGUCACUGUCAUGUUAAAGCCAAAGACUUAUGAAGCAACUUUGUGAGCAGAGUGAGUACUUAACUCCUGCCCCAGAGACAGACCCCUGGGACUCUUGCCUGAAUGGGGAUGGGAUUCUGCUUCAUUGUAACACAGUGGGUAAUCGCAUUCACUGCCCCAUCUUCAGGGGAGUGGUUUUGAAAUUGCUCAAGCUGGCUGCCCUGAGAUAUUGCCCAAAUGUUCCCUUAGGACUGCUUUUAUCUUCAGCAAAGCUACAUAUGGCCAAAGCUCCAGAAAAAUUCACUGAAACCUAAGGACUUUGCGUGUUCAAGACCCAGACAUCAAAAGAGUGGGAGUUCUGUUGCCGGGUCCAUUCCUUCUGCUCCCAUAACUGUCACCUUAGCUGAAAUCACCAACUUACACAAUUUGGCAGAGUUCAUCUAUAACCUGGCCCUCUAUGUCCUAUAGACACUAGACAUACAUGUAAUCUGUAUAACACAUGUACAAAAUACAUUCAUUAAGCGGUUGAUUAAAACUUGUUAUCUAAAAUUAAUGGCUUUAAACACAUUUUUUUUUAUUAUCUUACAGUCCUAGGAUACAGAUCUUGUUGGCCUAGCAUCAAGGUGUUAGUAAGGCUAUGCACUUUCCGAGACUACACGUAAGAAUCAAGUACCUCCCUUUUCCAAUUGCCACAGGCUGCCUGCAUUCCUUGUCUGUGGCCCCUUCUAUCUGCAAAGCCAGCAGUUGCAGGUGGAGUCACUGUCUUGGUUUCUUUUCCUGAUCCUGCAAUAAAAUAUUCUGAUAAAAGGAGCUUAAAGAAGGAAGGGCUUAUUUAGCUCACAAUUCCAGGUCACAUCCCAUCAUUGCGGGAAAGACACAGUAGCAGGAGCUUGGAGCAACUGGUCACAGAGGAGGGCAAUGAGUGCUCCUAUGCUGGUGCUCAGCUAGCUAUCUCUGUACUGCGACAGUAUUCCCUAGUCCAGAGAAGGGUCCCUGUUGUGGAAUAUCAGUUUAACUAUGUAAAGACAUGUGACAUUUGUUUAUGCUUGGGAAAUGACUUUUGUGUAUAGGUGUGUUACAUUUGUUCAACGGUGUAAAGAUGCGUUACAUUUGUUUGUGCUGCAUUUGUUUAGUUAUGUAAA